UGAUGUGUAGGAUAGGUGGGAGGCUUUGAAGUGUGGACGCCAGUCUGCAUGGAGCCGACCUUGAAAUACCACCCUUUAAUGUUUGAUGUUCUAACGUGGGCCCCUUACCGGGGUUGCGGACAGUGUCUGGUGGGUAGUUUGACUGGGGCGGUCUCCUCCUAAAGAGUAACGGAGGAGCACGAAGGUUGGCUAAUCCUGGUCGGACAUCAGGAGGUUAGUGCAAUGGCAUAAGCCAGCUUGACUGCGAGCGUGACGGCGCGAGCAGGUGCGAAAGCAGGUCAUAGUGAUCCGGUGGUUCUGAAUGGAAGGGCCAUCGCUCAACGGAUAAAAGGUACUCCGGGGAUAACAGGCUGAUACCGCCCAAGAGUUCAUAUCGACGGCGGUGUUUGGCACCUCGAUGUCGGCUCAUCACAUCCUGGGGCUGAAGUAGGUCCCAAGGGUAUGGCUGUUCGCCAUUUAAAGUGGUACGCGAGCUGGGUUUAGAACGUCGUGAGACAGUUCGGUCCCUAUCUGCCGUGGGCGCUGGAGAACUGAGGGGGGCUGCUCCUAGUACGAGAGGACCGGAGUGGACGCAUCACUGGUGUUCGGGUUGUCAUGCCAAUGGCACUGCCCGGUAGCUAAAUGCGGAAGAGAUAAGUGCUGAAAGCAUCUAAGCACGAAACUUGCCCCGAGAUGAGUUCUCCCUGACUCCUUGAGAGUCCUGAAGGAACGUUGAAGACGACGACGUUGAUAGGCCGGGUGUGUAAGCGCAGCGAUGCGUUGAGCUAACCGGUACUAAUGAACCGUGAGGCUUAACCUU
Molecule: ribosomal RNA, 799 nt
Filed under: Escherichia coli
Lineage: Bacteria; Pseudomonadati; Pseudomonadota; Gammaproteobacteria; Enterobacterales; Enterobacteriaceae
Description: partial 23S ribosomal RNA
Rfam family: Bacterial large subunit ribosomal RNA
Source: RNAcentral